Molecule: ribosomal RNA, 352 nt
Filed under: uncultured bacterium
Lineage: Bacteria
Description: bacterial SSU rRNA
Rfam family: Bacterial small subunit ribosomal RNA
Source: RNAcentral
GGACCCGCACAAGCGGUGGAGCAUGUGGUUUAAUUCGAUGCAACGCGAAAAAACCUUACCUACUCUUGACAUACUUGGGAGCUCUUGUAAUGAGAGUGUGCCUUUUGGAACCAAGAUACAGUAUGCUGCGAUGGCUGUCGUCAGCUCGUGUCGUGAGAUGUUCCGUUAAGUCGGAUAACGAGCGCAACCCUUACCCUUAUUUGCCAGCGAUUCGGUCGGGAACUAUAAGGGGACUGCCGGUGAUAAACCGGAGGAAGGUGAGGACGACGUCAAGUCAUCAUGGCCCUUACGAGUAGGGCUACACACGUGCUACAAUGGGGAAUACAGACGGACGCUAAGCCGCGAGGUGGUG